AGUGAACGCUGGCGGUAGGCCUAACACAUGCAAGUCGAACGGCAGCACAGUAAGAGCUUGCUCUUACGGGUGGCGAGUGGCGGACGGGUGAGGAAUACAUCGGAAUCUACUUUUUCGUGGGGGAUAACGUAGGGAAACUUACGCUAAUACCGCAUACGACCUACGGGUGAAAGCAGGGGAUCUUCGGACCUUGCGCGAUUGAAUGAGCCGAUGUCGGAUUAGCUAGUUGGCGGGGUAAAGGCCCACCAAGGCGACGAUCCGUAGCUGGUCUGAGAGGAUGAUCAGCCACACUGGAACUGAGACACGGUCCAGACUCCUACGGGAGGCAGCAGUGGGGAAUAUUGGACAAUGGGCGAAAGCCUGAUCCAGCAAUGCCGCGUGGGUGAAGAAGGCCUUCGGGUUGUAAAGCCCUUUUGUUGGGAAAGAAAAGCAGCAGGUUAAUACCCCGCUGUUCUGACGGUACCCAAAGAAUAAGCACCGGCUAACUUCGUG
RNAcentral lists this ribosomal RNA (492 nucleotides) under uncultured bacterium. RNAcentral describes it as "partial 16S ribosomal RNA". It matches the Rfam family "Bacterial small subunit ribosomal RNA", at positions 29 to 507 of the family's 1533-position model. The record is from RNAcentral.